RNAcentral lists this ribosomal RNA (253 nucleotides) under uncultured bacterium. RNAcentral's name for it is "partial 16S ribosomal RNA". It matches the Rfam family "Bacterial small subunit ribosomal RNA", at positions 524 to 776 of the family's 1533-position model. The record is from RNAcentral.
GACAGAGGGUGCAAACGUUGCUCGGAAUCACUGGGCGUAAAGGGCGUGUAGGCGGGCAGGCAAGUCAGAUGUGAAAUCCCUGGGCUCAACCCAGGAACUGCAUUUGAAACUCCCUUUCUUGAGUGUCGGAGAGGAAAGCGGAAUUCCUGGUGUAGAGGUGAAAUUCGUAGAUAUCAGGAGGAACACCGGUGGCGAAGGCGGCUUUCUGGACGACAACUGACGCUGAGACGCGAAAGCGUGGGGAGCAAACAGG